CAUCUUUCUGGCAAUCAUCACUUCAGCCGGAUAUCUCAGAGAAAUGGCAAGCUCUCUGCAGCGAAUAGCGAGACAUUCCCCUCUUGCCGCCUACCGAUCUUCUCUCACGCCGAUAUGGAGACAAUUUGCGUCAGAAGCGUUGGUCGAAAUCAAGGCCGGCGAGAUCGGUAUGGUCUCUGGUAUUCCUGAUGAACAUCUUCGCCGAAGGGUUGUGAUUUUCUCACCUGCUCGGACUGCUAGUCAACAGGGGUCUGGAAAAGUUGGAAGAUGGAAAAUCAAUUUCUUGUCAACCCAGAAAUGGGAGAAUCCAUUGAUGGGUUGGACAUCCACAGGGGAUCCAUAUGCCAAUGUUGGUGAAUCCGCGCUUAGUUUUGAGAGUGAAGAAGCUGCAAAAGCAUUUGCUGAAAAGCAUGGCUGGGAAUACACGGUUAAGAAGCGCCACACACCAUUGUUAAAGGUUUGAAAUCUCUUCAAAAAAAAACUGAAUUUGUGAUUUGCCCAAUCCAGCAGCUCUGGUGUAGACAUUUAUACUGAUCAAGUCGUAUGCGGAAAACUUCAAGUGGAAGGGGCCUCCCAAGACAGAAGAAUAAUCUAUUUUCUACUGCAUUCAAAGUGCUUGAGAGGCUUAUGGAUGUACUGUCACAGUGCGUUGCAUUCCUUUUUUUACCUUACCUUUUAUAAAGAUCAGUUGGUUUCCUCCUUGAAGGAUUUCUUAAGCUUCUUUCAAUAAUAAAUCAAACAUAUGAAAAAUCCACAAGUACAUGGAAUGUCUUAAGACCUUUGUGAAGCAAUUUCCGGGUGCUACACCCGAUCCUACCUUGUAGUGGUUAUUGGAGGUUAGUAUUAGGAUUUUGGUGCGUUAGAAAACUUAUGCCUUGUUAUUCUUUUUUUACUAAAAAGAAUUUAGUGUGUGCAGUGGACUGUCCAAGACAAAUUUCUUACCAAGUGUAUGAUGCAGUCAAGAAAAAUAACUUCCCCUGAGGAAUAGGGGAAGAUUACUGAAUGUGGCAAUAGGAGAUUUUUUCUCUUUACUAAGCAUGAAAUAGUAGGUCGGGUUGAGUUUGUUUAAAGCUUGUUCAAGUUUAACAAAUUUGAAAGUUGUUGGUCUGGCUCAGUUAAACUUAUAGAACUUUAUCAGUUAUAAGGCAGAUGGAUUUUGCGCUA
RNA transcript from Nicotiana tabacum (common tobacco), 1164 nucleotides. It is a transcript of the gene named NADH dehydrogenase [ubiquinone] iron-sulfur protein 4, mitochondrial, with no coding region annotated. NCBI's taxonomy places the organism in Eukaryota, Viridiplantae, Streptophyta, Magnoliopsida, Solanales, Solanaceae. The record is from RefSeq and is a predicted model, not a curated record.